Molecule: ribosomal RNA, 393 nt
Filed under: uncultured bacterium
Lineage: Bacteria
Description: partial 16S ribosomal RNA
Rfam family: Bacterial small subunit ribosomal RNA
Source: RNAcentral
AUACGGAGGAUCCGAGCGUUAUCCGGAUUUAUUGGGUUUAAAGGGAGCGUAGGUGGAUUGUUAAGUCAGUUGUGAAAGUUUGCGGCUCAACCGUAAAAUUGCAGUUGAAACUGGCAGUCUUGAGUACAGUAGAGGUGGGCGGAAUUCGUGGGGUAGCGGUGAAAUGCUUAGAUAUCACGAAGAACUCCGAUUGCGAAGGCAGCUCACUAGACUGUUACUGACACUGAUGCUCGAAAGUGUGGGUAUCAAACAGGAUUAGAUACCCUGGUAGUCCACACAGUAAACGAUGAAUACUCGCUGUUUGCGAUAUACAGUAAGCGGCCAAGCGAAAGCAUUAAGUAUUCCACCUGGGGAGUACGCCGGCAACGGUGAAACUCAAAUGAAUUGGCGGGG